RNA transcript from Chinchilla lanigera (long-tailed chinchilla), 1070 nucleotides. It is a transcript of the gene named biogenesis of lysosomal organelles complex-1, subunit 2, with no coding region annotated. NCBI's taxonomy places the organism in Eukaryota, Metazoa, Chordata, Mammalia, Rodentia, Chinchillidae. The record is from RefSeq and is a predicted model, not a curated record. The transcript is spliced from 6 exons.
CAGACUCUGUGCGCACGCGCAGAAUCCCAGACCCGGAAGCAGCUCAGGGCUGGGCAUGGCGGCGGCAGCUGAGGGCGUCCCUGCGCUGCGACGGGAGGAGCCGGCUAGAGACGAUGCCGCCGUGGAGACAGCCGAGGAAGCAAAGGAGCCCGCCGAGGCUGACAUCACUGAGCUCUGCCGGGACAUGUUCUCCAAAAUGGCCACGUACCUGACUGGGGAACUGACGGCCACCAGUGAAGACUAUAAGCUCCUGGAAAACAUGAAUAAAUUAACCAGCUUGAAGUAUCUUGAAAUGAAAGAUAUUGCUAUAAACAUUAGUAGAAACUUAAAGGACUUAAACCAGAAGUACGCUGGAUUACAGCCUUACCUCGAUCAGAUCAACGUAAUUGAGGAGCAGGUAGCAGCUCUUGAACAGGCAGCCUACAAGCUGGAUGCAUAUUCAAAAAAACUGGUUACUUUCCUGGAGUGAGAUGUAAGGAUAAGAGCAUAAAAGGGGAAACAUACAUCUAUGCAUCCUGAGUAUUCCAGGCUGAUUUCAGAAGGCACCUGGGAUUGCCAAGGAGUUUCUGGUGUUUAGUAAGACUCCAGAAGCCAAGUAUAAGAAGCUGGAAAAGCGGUGAAAAACUGAAUUUUGUAACAUAAAGCCCUCUUAAAUGUGGAAGAAUGUUUUAUAGCAACUGAAUCCUGAGGCUGAUGAAAUGUCAAAAUUCCUCAAAAGGAAACUUUGCUGGUCACCCCAGGAACAUCCCAAUGUUGAAUAAACUCAAAGACUGUGGAUACUCCUGGACCUUCUUUGAGGCAAUAUCUGCCAGAAAUUCACACUUGCAACUCCUUUCUUGUUACUUGAACGCUUCAGCAUCCAUUCAAGACAGACACUCUCUCAAAGUUCAGGAUAAACCUGCGCUUAUCAGUAGAAUUGAAUGAGAGGACCUAUUUUCUCUGGCAGUGGUUGAUUAUUAUUUUCUUAAAUGGCUGGUUUUUGAGUUACUGUGUAAAUGGUUGGGUUUUUUUUAUUAGCAAUGCUAAUGUUAUUAACAAGAGUCUAAAUUAAAAAAGGAAAACAAAACAAA